GGUGAAGUACUUGCAGAUAGCAAAGAAGAGCAAAACUGCCAACCCGUAUCGGUGGGUGAGAUAUGUGACUCAGGCUAAUUCUUAUGUUGCUCGCAUUUGAAAAUAGUCGUGCUCCUUUUCAUUUCUUAAUUUUCUUCAUCGCAUGUUUACUACAAUUGAGAUCCAUUUUAUAGAUAGUUUUUCCCUUACGUUCUUCCUUUUUGUCGCAUUGUAUUUAGAAUAUUAGUAACCUACCAGGUGUGGUUACUUAUCGACUUAUUGUGCUACCUAUAAAUCUAUACAAUUUGCCAUUUGUGUUGUUGUACAUGUAAAGUGAUAAACUGCCUGAAACAAACUCGUGCGUAUAAAAAAUCAUACUCACUCAAUCUUACAAAAAUAUGAAUAAUUGAGAGUAACACAUUUAUUAAGAAAUGCUAGUUGAGAGUUAUCGUGAAUGGAAAAUGAAUCAUAAUUUAUAAGUGUUAUGAGAGUAAUGAGUUAAUUGAGGAAAAGUUGUGGUGGGUUAUGAUGGGUUUUUUGUGAAUAAGUAUCAAAAAAGAAGGAUAAAAAAAAUAGUGUACAAAAAUAAAAAUGUUCAUAUUUUUGUGGGACGUUUUAAAAUGACAAAUUGUUCAUGUUUUUGUGAGACAAUUAGAUAAUUUACUGUUGGAAUUCUUGUGUUCUUCAUGCAAAAUACUGUAUAUUGUCCUAAUGUAUACAUAUCUUUUCAAAAAAUUUAAAUCUAAUUUUAUACUCUUUAUGUCCCACCAAUUAGUCCCCUUUCGUUUUUCACAAAUAUUAAGAAAAUGCAUUUAAUCUUCUUUAAAAUAAAUAAAUACUAAUUUUAUAUUUUUAUUUUUUUAUAUUUUUAUUUAUUAUUUUCACACAUUAUUUUCGCAUUUAAGUGAAAUAUUAAAUAAGAUUAGUUUAAUAAAACGAUAUUUUUAUAUAAUAUGAAUUAAAAAAUAAAUUAUCUUUUUAAGACAUCCAAAAAUAAAAUAGAAUAAGUGAUUUAUUUCGUGGGAGACCGAGGGAGUAUUUAAGUGUCACAAAAAUGUUUCCAAAGUAAAUUUCCGGGGAAAUUCCGAGGUGAAUGCGCUUACAUAUUUAAAUUUUUCUUUAUUUUUAUUAACUUUACCUUUAUUAUAGUUAAUCUCUCAUCUAUGGUUAGUACUUGGAAAUUAUACCUAUGAUUUCUGAAAAGCGACAGCAGGAGUCUCCAUAAUUAGAAAUUAUAUUUUGAAACAUAGAUGGGGCCCAUUUUCCCAUUGCCACUUGGCUUUUCCCUGUGUUCUAACUUCUGCCAAUGUUUCCUUCUCUUUUGUUCUUAGUUUUUCUCUGUCCAAAUUUCGCAGAGCCAUUUAUGAAUUUUUUUUGUAGUUCAAUGUGGCUUCUUUAUUAAUUUAUAGAAGUUCUGUUUAAAAUAUUUUAGGGUGAUAUGAAGUUUGAUUUGAAUAUGAAGUUGGGCUGAGUUGGAGUUGCCUAAUAUAAUUAGCGAAGAAGAUGGAAGUAUCUAAUAGAAUUGCUAAACCAUUUAAUCUUUCUUACAAUAUAUACGAUCUUAAAUAUGUCUUCAACAAUAUUAACUUUGAGAAACUCCUCUCAACUAAAGCUAUAGUAUUAUACAUAAUCAACAAAAUCCUAUAAGUUAUAGUAACAUUUGGAUAACAAUCUGCAAUUUUCAUAACUUCAAUAGUUGACAUUAUCUUAUUUGAUAAUGUUAUUUAUAAUAUUUGUAAUUCAGUAAAUAAAUUAUUUAAGUCAACAUCGAAUAUAUUAUCACGAGUAAAAGUAGAUUUCAAAUUUACGCAACAAUGUCUUAAUUUUUCACUAUUCAAAGAUUUUAAAAUUUUUGAAUCAAACAAAAAAGUAAAUAUAUGAUCAAAUUAUUUCAAUUAUUCAAAAUCUACAUUUUAAAGAAGCAAUAGUCAUAUCCACAACAACUACAAAAUAUUCAAUUCUAAAUGACUCUUCGAGUGAUAAUGAAACUUCAUCACUUUCUCCCUCAUCAAAUAAUUCCUUUCGUCCUUCAAACAUCUUUCUCUUUUUUCAUUUUAAUCCGUCCCCAAAACAUCUUCCUAACCUACUUUGAAAAUAAUUGCACUCAGUAUUACUCUUACAAUCUUCAUUUUUUGUGGAACUCAUUCUCCACUCAUAAAAUACACAAAUAACUUUUAUUAAAACUCGUGUUAUCCUCCCUUAGAAAGAUGUUUGGGGGACAGAGGGAGUAUUAUUUUCUAGGGUUAAUAGUGUUUUAUGUCCCGAACUUUCAGCGUUUUUCACAAAAUGUCCCAAACUUUCAUUUUCUCCUAAAAAACCUCGAACUUUCAAUUUUUUCCCAUAAAAUGUUCCAUUAUACAAAAUUCGGUGACAAAAAGAUGAACUAUCUAGCCGAAAGAAAUAUUUUGGGGAUAGCCAUUAUUGGAAAAUCAUAUUGGGAACCACCAUUGUUGGAAAACGCUGAAUGUUUGAGGCUUUUUAUCAUCUUUCCGUCAUCGAAUUUUAUAUAGCGAGACAUUUUAUGGAAAAAAUUGAAAGUUCAGGAUUUUUUAGGAGGAAAUGAAAGUUCGAGACAUUUUGUGGAAAACGCUGAAAGUUCGAAACAUAAAACAUUAUUAACCUAUUUUCUAGUAAUACAACAUUUUGUUAGAAUAUUGGCUAUAUAUUCAUAUUUGAUGCAAGAUUCUUAACAAUAAUCAAACUUGUAUCAAAAACCUGCAUUCCUAUACUUUUCAAAAAAAUGAUAUUAGACCUUUCAAUUAUUUUAUGAUAGAGUCAAUUAACAUAGAUUUUUAUUGUAACUUAUUACUCACCAUGUUUAUAGCAAAUAAAAUGUCAUGCCAAAUCAUCAUACCAAGUAAAAAUUCGAUAUUUGUAAUUAAUGCAACUAAAUUUUCAGGUUCACUUUUCGACUUUGCAUCAUUACAAAUAUCACAUAAUUUUAAUAAAACAUCUCUCAAUUCAACAGAUUGAAAUCUAAUUGCUCGAACACUUUUAAUACGAAUUUCGCAACGUUUACUUUUAACCAAAAAAAAAAAUCUAAUCAUGCUUACUACUCAAACCACAACAAUUACAUAAAAUAAAAACUUGAUAUAGCUCAAAUCAAAGAAUCAAUAAGAUAAUAAUCGAUUAAUAAAAGAACAACACCUGGAUAAAUUUUAAGUCUAUAAUAAUAAUGUAUUUACUCCCUUCGACCACGAUAUCAUUUUCACUUUUGCUAUUUUGGUCUAUCCACAAUAUCAUUUUUUACUUUCAAUCAUAAUAAUAGUACAAUAUCAUUUUUUUACUUUCAAUCAUAAUAAUAGUAGGGCCUACAAACUCCACUCACAACAAUGAUGGGUACCAAACUCCACUUACAACAAUACCCACGACUAUCCUUCAAUUUCUUAAAACAUGUGCCGUCCACAAAGUGAAAACGAUAUCUUGAAUAGAGGGAGUAUAAGAUGUGAAAAAAUUUAAGUCUCAAAAAAUAAUAGGCCGUGGGUGGCCCGCCCUCAGAGAUGGCCUUGUAUGUAUGUAAGUCUUUCAGCAACCUCUGUGAGUGAAGGGACAAAGGAUGGAUGUUUGUAGGAGAAACAACUCAUUAGAUGCAUUUGUUUGUAAGUAUGAAGAAAGAGUUGAGGUCACGUAUUGCCUAUGGCUAAUUUGUUGCUCACACAUGUGAAUACUAGGAAAGUAUUCAGAUGUUUUGAUGAAAAUGUGAGGAACUAUCAAAUGUUGUAGGUUCACGGAUUAGUUGAAGAAUGUGAAUGUUAUUCUAUAGUCUUUUAUAUUGAAAAUAUGGACCAACAAGAAUACAUGUUUGUUAAUCAAAUUAUGUAUUGCAUGGCAUCUUCAACGAACGAUUAUCCAAGUUAACAGCCAAAUGAGGCCUUCAUGGAUUAUGAGAAUAUCUUCAGUUGUAUCCAUUUAANAUCACAUGUUUACUACAAUUGAGAUCCAUUUUAUAGAUAAUUUUCCUUACGUUCUCCUUUUUGUCGCAUUGUAUUUAGAAUAUCAGUAACCUACCAGGUGUGGUUGCUUAUCGACUUAUUGUGCUACCUAUAAAUCUAUACAAUUUACCAUUUGUGCGACAUGUAAAGUGAUAAUUGGGAGUGACAUGGGUAUUUAAGAAAUGUUAGUUGAGAGUUAUCGUG
Molecule: long non-coding RNA, 4115 nt
Filed under: Salvia miltiorrhiza (redroot sage)
Lineage: Eukaryota; Viridiplantae; Streptophyta; Magnoliopsida; Lamiales; Lamiaceae
Description: long non-coding RNA (SMIL_LNC006950)
Source: RNAcentral